CCUACGGGGGGCAGCAGUGGGGAAUAUUGCACAAUGGGGGGAACCCUGAUGCAGCGACGCCGCGUGGGUGAGGAAGUACUUCGGUAUGUAAAGCCCUAUCAGCAGGGAAGAAAAUGACGGUACCUGACUAAGAAGCCCCGGCUAACUACGUGCCAGCAGCCGCGGCAAUACGUAGGGGGCGAGCGGUAUCCGGAUUUACGGGGUGGAAAGGGAGCGUAGACGGCGUGUCAAGGCAGAUGUGAAAGGCCUGGGCGCAACCCCGGGACUGCAUUGGAAACUGGGAGGCUGGAGUAACGGAGUGGGAAGCGGAAUUCCUGGUGUAGCGGUGAAAUGCGUAGAUAUUAGGAGGAACACCGGUGGCGAAGGCGGCUUGCUGGACGGUAACUGACGUUGAGGCACGAAAGCGUGGGGAGCAAACAGGAUUAGAUACCCGUGUAGUG
This 440-nucleotide ribosomal RNA is filed under the name uncultured bacterium. RNAcentral describes it as "partial 16S ribosomal RNA". It matches the Rfam family "Bacterial small subunit ribosomal RNA", at positions 338 to 795 of the family's 1533-position model. The record is from RNAcentral.